AUGUUUAAAAAAACAUAUGCUGAGAACCUGCCUGCACUUGAAGGAAAACAGCAGUGGGAUAUUGUAGACCCUGGUUUCAAACUAAGUCCACCUGUACAGAACAAAGCUGCACCUGGCAGGCCAAGGAAGACAAGAAUUAAGCCAGCAAGUGAAGGAAAAAGACUUGGUCCUAGGAAGAGAAAAUGCAAGAGGUGUGGUGGCUUGGGUCACUUACUGAAAACCUGCAAAAAAGCCAUUGAUCCAGCAUUUGGUGAAGAAGAUGCACACUGGGGAGCUGACAAUGCUGAAGAAGACCCUCCUAACCAAAAUGCAGACCUACAUGAUAAACAACAAGAAGAAGAGGAGCCAUACAGUGAAGAUGAAGCUCCAGUGCAGCCUGUAGGUGAAGAUGAAGCUCCAGUGCAGCCUGCAGGUGCAGAUGAUGCUCCAGUGCAGCCUGCAGGUGCACAGGAUGCUCCAGUAGAGCCCCACAGUGAAACAAAUGAGACAGCAACACAAGCUUCCACAGUUGCAGAUGAAGUUCAAAGCACACCAAGGAAGAACUAUAAGAAGGCCGCAGAGAGAGGAGCAUCUCCAAUGGCUAUCAGCAAGAAGAGGAAGCUUAACACUUCUACAAGUCCAGAAGAAGAACCUUGCUCAGUUACUGGCAGCAAUGUAGAUGCAAGAGUUGCUGCAUGUGAAGAGCAAGUUCUCCCUCCAGUUGUUCCCCAAAUCCCUGUGAAACUGACUAGGAGCAGGGCUAGGGAGAUGACAAUCCCAGCUAGCAACACAAGGAGCAAGAAGGCAAAAUAUGGAAAAUGA
This 801-nucleotide ribosomal RNA is filed under the name Triticum aestivum (bread wheat). Its description in RNAcentral is "partial small subunit ribosomal RNA". The record is from RNAcentral. Lineage: Eukaryota; Viridiplantae; Streptophyta; Magnoliopsida; Poales; Poaceae.